Molecule: ribosomal RNA, 1372 nt
Filed under: uncultured bacterium
Lineage: Bacteria
Description: bacterial SSU rRNA
Rfam family: Bacterial small subunit ribosomal RNA
Source: RNAcentral
GAUGAACGCUGGCGGCGUGCCUAAUACAUGCAAGUCGAGCGAACGGACGAGAAGCUUGCUUCUCUGAUGUUAGCGGCGGACGGGUGAGUAACACGUGGAUAACCUACCUAUAAGACUGGGAUAACUUCGGGAAACCGGAGCUAAUACCGGAUAAUAUUUUGAACCGCAUGGUUCAAAAGUGAAAGACGGUCUUGCUGUCACUUAUAGAUGGAUCCGCGCUGCAUUAGCUAGUUGGUAAGGUAACGGCUUACCAAGGCAACGAUACAUAGCCGACCUGAGAGGGUGAUCGGCCACACUGGAACUGAGACACGGUCCAGACUCCUACGGGAGGCAGCAGUAGGGAAUCUUCCGCAAUGGGCGAAAGCCUGACGGAGCAACGCCGCGUGAGUGAUGAAGGUCUUCGGAUCGUAAAACUCUGUUAUUAGGGAAGAACAUAUGUGUAAGUAACUGUGCACAUCUUGACGGUACCUAAUCAGAAAGCCACGGCUAACUACGUGCCAGCAGCCGCGGUAAUACGUAGGUGGCAAGCGUUAUCCGGAAUUAUUGGGCGUAAAGCGCGCGUAGGCGGUUUUUUAAGUCUGAUGUGAAAGCCCACGGCUCAACCGUGGAGGGUCAUUGGAAACUGGAAAACUUGAGUGCAGAAGAGGAAAGUGGAAUUCCAUGUGUAGCGGUGAAAUGCGCAGAGAUAUGGAGGAACACCAGUGGCGAAGGCGACUUUCUGGUCUGUAACUGACGCUGAUGUGCGAAAGCGUAGGGAUCAAACAGGAUUAGACACCCUGGUAGUCCACGCCGUAAACGAUGAGUGCUAAGUGUUAGGGGGUUUCCGCCCCUUAGUGCUGCAGCUAACGCAUUAAGCACUCCGCCUGGGGAGUACGACCGCAAGGUUGAAACUCAAAGGAAUUGACGGGGACCCGCACAAGCGGUGGAGCAUGUGGUUUAAUUCGAAGCAACGCGAAGAACCUUACCAAAUCUUGACAUCCUUUGACAACUCUAGAGAUAGAGCCUUCCCCUUCGGGGGACAAAGUGACAGGUGGUGCAUGGUUGUCGUCAGCUCGUGUCGUGAGAUGUUGGGUUAAGUCCCGCAACGAGCGCAACCCUUAAGCUUAGUUGCCAUCAUUAAGUUGGGCACUCUAAGUUGACUGCCGGUGACAAACCGGAGGAAGGUGGGGAUGACGUCAAAUCAUCAUGCCCCUUAUGAUUUGGGCUACACACGUGCUACAAUGGACAAUACAAAGGGCAGCGAAACCGCGAGGUCAAGCAAAUCCCAUAAAGUUGUUCUCAGUUCGGAUUGUAGUCUGCAACUCGACUACAUGAAGCUGGAAUCGCUAGUAAUCGUAGAUCAGCAUGCUACGGUGAAUACGUUCCCGGGUCU